RNAcentral lists this ribosomal RNA (455 nucleotides) under uncultured bacterium. RNAcentral describes it as "bacterial SSU rRNA". It matches the Rfam family "Bacterial small subunit ribosomal RNA", at positions 43 to 507 of the family's 1533-position model. The record is from RNAcentral.
CGUGCCUAACACAUGCAAGUCGAACGGAGUUGAAAAGAGCUUGCUUUUUUUAACUCAGUGGCGGACGGGUGAGUAACGCGUGAGUAACCUGCCUUUCAGGAGGGGGAUAACGUUCUAGAAAAGAACGCUAAUACCGCAUAAGAUUGUAGUUUCGCAUGGGACAGCAAUCAAAGGAGAAAUCCGCUGAAAGAUGGACUCGCGUCCGAUUAGAUAGUUGGCGGGGUAAUGGCCCACCAAGUCGACGAUCGGUAGCCGGACUGAGAGGUUGAUCGGCCACAUUGGGACUGAGACACGGCCCAGACUCCUACGGGAGGCAGCAGUGAGGGAUAUUGGGCAAUGGGGGAAACCCUGACCCAGCAACGCCGCGUGAGGGAUGACGGUUUUCGGAUUGUAAACCUCUGUCCUCUGUGAAGAUAGUGACGGUAGCAGAGGAGGAAGCUCCGGCUAACUACGUG